CUUUUUUUUUUUUUUUUUUUUUUGCGCUUUGGGUUAAACACGUGACGUAUUACGCAGUCAGAGCGUAAACACUGCAGUGUGUGGGGGUGGACCGCCCCAAACCAGAUCAAACCACACUUCUCCUAAGGCACACACAUCUAGUUCCUAACAUUAUUUAACCUGCACUAGUGCCAGCCUCGGGAGUGAAAGCUGUCUGACAGUACUGCAUACAGUCUACCUCCUGAUGUCAUCUAACGAUUAUUUCAUGGUCCUUCACUGCUGGAAAUGGCCUUUUCAAUGUAUAAGUCUGAGACAUUGCAGACAAGGAUGAGGAGCGGUCAUGGAGUGCAUACACUACCCCACCCACCCUGCUUCCAGCCCAGACUGAAAAAAACUCAGCGGCCCAGGAACACCACAGGUGACGCUCUGUUUAACUGACAGGCACUAAGCAAACAUCUCAGAAGAACAUCUCAGUGCCAACCCAGUACCCCGUUUUGGAAUUUUCUGUCUUUCUUCAGAAAUACUCACAAAAUCAUAUAUUGACUUUAAAAAAAAGCUGGAUGAUAAAAGUGUUAAUUCUUCUCUCCCUGUGUUACUGCUCCAGUUACUCUCUCUCUCGUGUGCUUUUGAGGCUAAGCCUUGGCACGAUCUAUGACAAAUGCAGUGACAGACGGAGAGAGAGAGAGAGAGAGAGAGAGAGCGAGAGAAAGAAACAGAGCCACAAAUAGACCCGUCCCCCUGCCCACAGGAGAGCUACAGCUCCACUUCUGCACACACUCGCCUCUCAUUUUGCAUGUGCCCUGGGGCCAAUAGAAGUUAGUGGAGAACCGCUGGGAAAUUAAAUUUGAAAUUAUUCGAUUAUCACACACAACAGAGCCCAAGGAAGAGACACAUCCAUAACACAUUUUUUUAAUAAACUGAUUUCACUUAGAAAUUUCCCUUUUCUAAUACUGUCAAUACUGUACUGCUUGACUGAUCAUUAAUUUCAUGUUCAUUAUGAAAAGUAAAUAUAUUAUGUAUAAAAUAUUAGUAUAAACCCCCACAAAAUAUUUCUGUUUUUAUGUACUUGUUUUGUAACUAACAGGGUAUCUAACAGGGCAAUAUAAAAUGUUAGAGGUGCAAAAAAAAAGAAAAGAUAUCAUGUGUUACUAAUAGCUAAAAUCCUGGCAGUGAUAAGGAGGAGAUGGAAGAAUUCCUUCACUCCUCCUCAUGUAGGACACAGACAGCAUUGGGAUUAAGGUAUCUACCAUCUGAGCCUUAGACUGAUCCAGGAUCAGCACAUCAGCACAUCUUCCAGGCUCCUCUAUAAACGUGAAAUAGAAAAGCUAAUUUUAAAUCCCCAUAAUGAUAUUUAGCUUGUUAGGCUCUUCCAGUUCAGCUGUGAUUGCUGGCAGAAAAAAGCUCAUAAUAAUUUUCUACUGAUGAUCAGAAGGAGCCCUGAGUGGUAAAGUCUUCAGUCAUCUUGACUUACCAUUCCUUACCAUUCAGAGUGGCCUGACAUUCACAGACAUAAUUUUGUCCUCCAAAUUCACAUUGCAUUAGUUCUGUGCAUAACACAGACAGGCUAACUUGCCAGUGUGUCACAUUAUAUUGAUGGACGAGAGUGUUUUUUUCUGCCUGACUCUUUGUUUCUGUUCUUGCUCUGAUAUUUUGGCAGGCAGGUUGUGUUCUUGUGGACAGGCAACCUCUUCCUAGACAACACAGCUACCCUGUCCUUGGGUUGGCUUCAUGUUCACACACACACACAUAAACAGCGUCGCUUCAGAGGUCCAUGUGACCAGGCGAGCCAGGCAAGUUAACGUCUGGCUCCUAUAAAGGCCGUCUUCUUCAGUCGAGAGGAUAAGAUCAGCCGAGGGUCGUGUCUCAGGUUUCCAUGAAAGGAUUAAAAAGUAAACAACUGAGAAUUUGAGCCAAUCCCUCUUUAAGGAGAUACACGUUUCACCGAAAGCACGGUGUAUACCUCUCUGAGGCCCUCGAUAAUGAUACUAUGGGAACAAAGUUGACUUCAUUCAUAUGUAAUGUGUCUGUGAUUGUUCAGUCUUUCAUGGACAUGAGAGCAGGUUUUGUCCAUAAGUUGUAUAUAAAUAUCCUCACAUUUUUACAAAAUAACAUUUUAGCUAAAAACACUGCAUCUGCUGUAAUUUUCAGACAGGAAUUUGAUUGUGUUACCCUAUAAGUGUUUGAUAGGCAGAUAUGCUGAUUACUGACUUGGCCUACAACUUGGCCUUAGGGUGGGAAACUGUCAGGGCAAUCCAGAGGGAAAGGAGCAAUAUUCAGCAGCAAGUGCAAGCAGGUUCAAACCUGCCUUGCUGUGCAUUAUUAAAAGCCUCUACAUCACCUGCACAAUUACCAGAAAUAUAACACACUCACAAGGAGGGAAGAAAAUGUGUACGCCUGUGCAAAUGUAUCAUAUAAGACAUAAACUCCAGGUAAUACAAAAACACAGUGUACACAAUCUAAGAAAGCACCGAAUUAUAGACAAGAUAUAAGAUAUAAGACAAUAUACUAAUAACAUAUUAUAGAUAAACAUUUAAUGCAUUAACAGACUUAUGCAAAUCAAAGGAUUCAUACAUUCACUUUCAGUAACUGCUUUAUCCUGGUCAGGGUUGUGGCGGAGCUGGAGCCUAUCCCAGGAAUGCUGGGUGUAAGGUGGAAAAACACCAUGGAUGGAACACAAGUCCAUCACAGAACACCAUGCACACACAUUCUCACCUGGGGACAAGAGUAGCCUAACCGGAGAACCUGAAAGAACCCUGUGCGGGCACUGUGAGAACAUGCAAAAUUCUGCACAAGGAGUAACCAGAGCUGAGGACUGAACCAGGAACCCUGAAACUAAGAGUCUCAUAUCUCUUCUGCAUAGCUGCAUAUUCCCUACAGAAAAGAUCUGACUCCACGGAGAGAACAUCCUGAGGAUAUUGGCUACAGAAGAAAGGACUUUUAAGGCUCUUGUCAAAACAUUUGACAAUAAAAUGCAAAGAACGCAAACACUUAGACACAUUGGGUAAGGUUGGGGUUGUUAAGGUUGGGGAAUUUACUAUGUCUUGUGACCAUAUGGAAUUCAUUUAAACAUAUCUUUAAUUUGGCUAGUAGCUUUAUCCUGUCCAAGGAGCUAAAAUAACUCUGUUGGCACGCUGCUUUCUGAGUGAUGUUUUUGUUACAUUCAGGGUUGAUCCAAGGUCAGGUUUCCCAUAAUGCAUUCUUGAUAGUGUUGCUGGUUCCAGAUCUGUAUGCAUGACUCUCAAUCUAAUUUUUUAAAAAAGAGACACUGCAGAAAUGUCAGAUCAGCUCACAUCUCUGCAAGGUUUAUUACUCCUAUGCAACUGCAUAGACAAAAUUACUCCUAUCUAGCUCUUGUUGUAGGUAUCGACCAAAAUCCCUGAGGAACAAUAUCAAUAUAUCAACUACGAAACAAUACAGUAAACUUAUAAUGUGACUAAUCAUUUUGCACGAAGGAACAAAUUAGAUAUUUUGUAAUUACAACCUUGACAGGCCACUGUGUACACUGUGAAUGUUAAAGUUGUAUCAUAUAAAGAUAAAAUUUCUCACACAAAUAUCAUUACACACCUGGCAACACUGGAUUAGCCUCCAUUUCCAAGGUCCAUUGUUUAAACAGGUGGAGCCAAGAGCUAUGUGUUUUAAUGAAAGCAGUGUGUUCAUCCUGGGAAACUCAACAAGCUGCAAUAUAAUACUAAUACCUUGAUGAUGUACUAGAUCCAAUGAAAAAUAAAGUGUGAAUUGCGCAACACUUUUUGCACUCGUGGUUCGCAUCCUGCUCUACGGAUGAUAAGAGAAGAAGCCAUCAGUCUCCAUGAGGCUUGAAAUCUUCUAAAUGGACAAUGUACCAAGUGAGAACACUGUUUCACCACUAACACAAACAAGGAGCAAAACAUUUAGGAUGAACAUUUUGGAUUUCGAAAGUAGUGGUGUCCUUGUGAAGGAGGCUGUCCUUGUGAAGUUCAGUGAGGUUAGAUGUACAUGAUGUGCAUAUACAUGAUGUCCAUAAUGUGUGAUUUGAGACAUAUUUCUCAAUUUCUUUUAGUAGUAUUAACCAGUUUGUAUAUUUUAAUAGUGUUUCCAUGAUUGUGGUGCUAUUUAACCCUUUAAAAAUCAUUUUUAUAGUGAAUAUAAGAAAACUGUGGGGUUACCCAUUCAGAAAUGUGUUAAUCCAUCAGAGACAACCAUUUUUACAAGGUUUCUUUUCUGAUAAUGCUGUUACAUUUUGCUGUCAAAUGUACAAAGUAAAAGGGUUGAGCUUUUAGCAUAGAAUUAGUAUAAACGUGUUCUCUCUUUUUUUUAAUUACUAACUUAUUUUCAUGUGUAAUUUUGGUGACAGGUUGUAUUUUCAAAGCUAUCUCGUCAGUCAGUAUAACAAUAUCAGUGAAAAUAAAGAACAAAUUAUGAGAGAAUGCACUUUUCUUCUGCCGCUGAUUUUUCAGGGGAAAUUCGGACUUUGCUACUUCCUGUUGAACAUGUGACCUGUGGAAUAUUCCAAACAUUUCAUAGGGGUGAAUGUGUUCAGCUAAACGUGUUGAAUGACAGUUGUGGGACUGAAAUGUGCCUAUAAUGGAUAAAAAGGAUGUUUCAAGCAUAAGAUGUCACACAUUCAUGCAAAAAAAUAAUGUUUUUUUAUUAAAUAUUUUGAUAAUUAGUUGUAGUAGGAUGGGAGAGGCAAAAAUUCUGUUUUCUAAGUGUUGCAGUGUAGAAGGACACUUUGCCAAUGCUUAAUAUGGCUUUUACUUUUGUUUUGGAUAAAUAAUUGUAAAUGUAAUAUCAGUGGGACGGAUAACGCACCCCAGUCGUAGAAUCACCCCAUCAUACAUCUUAUCUUCCUUGAAACCACAGACUGUAUAUAAGAUACCGUAUAGAAGACACGGUCUAUAGGUGAAACACCGAGAGCGCCCCCUCACAGGAAACCGGUUUAGUCCUGUACAGCACUUUAAAAUGUAGCGCGGUCACGUGGCGCGGCGCCUUCACAAACCAACCUACUGCUGUUCUGCCUCAAAUUCCUUUACAUAACGUUUCUAAUCAGAGCUGUGGCGGAAAGCCAGCACAGCGCACCCUCAGUUAACCUCUGUGUGUGAAGCGACAGCUCUGCUUCUCUGUCUUAUCCCUGAAUUAAAAGCGACAGGAGACUCGCUCUCCUCUACUCUCCACCGGCUUUGUUUGAGCAAGCAGCCUGGCACUGGAACUCGGAUCCUCUCCAGUAUCUACAGACUCUAUGGCUGAAUGAAUCAUGUGGACCUGUGAUCAAAACAUGCCGUGCUAUAAACAGCCAUUCACUUAUUUUUGUAAGGUGAAACAGCACACCAAAUCCUCGAAUGCCACUCUGGUAGCCUACAUACUGCCUAGUGUGCAACUGUACUGCGAUCAGGUUGCUUUAAACGAGAAUCAGCUUCACAUCUCUGCAUUUCUGUAAGCUCAAGUAGUGUGGAGUGUUUCAGGGCAAAAUAAUGAGACUGCUACAAAUAGUGAACGCACCAUGGCAGAGCACAUCCAAGUUUAGGAAGUUACAUAAACAGGCCCACAUUAAGGACAAAGUGAGCUAAGCCAGGCAGUCCUCAUAAAUCAUAAUAAAAAAUGAAAUAAGAAAAAAUAAUCUACGGGUAUAAGCUUGAAAUUUUAUUCGAGAUACUGUUUAGUAUGUUUUGAGUAGAGGAAAU
Long non-coding RNA from Pangasianodon hypophthalmus (striped catfish), 5639 nucleotides. RefSeq lists it as uncharacterized. The transcript is spliced from 3 exons. The record is from RefSeq and is a predicted model, not a curated record. Lineage: Eukaryota; Metazoa; Chordata; Actinopteri; Siluriformes; Pangasiidae.